CCCUUAGAUGUUCUGGGCCGCACGCGUGCUACACUGAGUGGAUCAGCGGGUCAGGUUGCGCGAAAGUGUUUCCUAAUCUUGAAAUCCGCUCGUGAUGGGGAUUGACGGUUGCAAUUUUCUGUCAUGAACGAGGAAUACCUUGUAAGCGCGGGUCAUCAUCCCGCGCUGAAUACGUCCCUGCCCUUUGUACACACCGCCCGUCGCUCCUACCGAUUGGGUGUGCUGGUGAAAUGUUCGGAUCGGCCGUUUGUCGCGGUUUCCGCGUCAUGUGGCUGAGAAGUUCAUUAAACCCUCCCACCUAGAGGAAGGAGAAGUCGUAACA
RNAcentral lists this ribosomal RNA (322 nucleotides) under uncultured eukaryote. RNAcentral's name for it is "partial 18S ribosomal RNA". It matches the Rfam family "Eukaryotic small subunit ribosomal RNA", at positions 1470 to 1796 of the family's 1831-position model. The record is from RNAcentral.